UAGAAGGCACAUAUCACCCUGCUGCCGAAGACUGCUUUCUCACUGAAGCUAAGCAGGGCUGAGCCUGGUUCGUACCUGGAUGGGGGACCACAUGGGUAAACUAGGUAGCUGUUGGA
This 116-nucleotide ribosomal RNA is filed under the name Danio rerio (zebrafish). The record is from RNAcentral. Lineage: Eukaryota; Metazoa; Chordata; Actinopteri; Cypriniformes; Danionidae.